UCUCCGUUGGUGAACCAGCGGAGGGAUCAUUACAGAGUUGCAAGACUCCCAAACCAUUGUGAACGUUACCUAUCCCGUUGCUUCGGCGGGCGGCCCGGGCCCCGCGCCCGGCGCCCCCCGGCCCCCCGUGGGCGCCCGCCGGAGGUAAACCAAACCCUUGAAUUGCAUGGCCUCUCUGAGUCUUCUGUACUGAAUAAGUCAAAACUUUCAACAACGGAUCUCUUGGUUCUG
RNAcentral lists this unclassified non-coding RNA (231 nucleotides) under plant metagenome. RNAcentral's name for it is "partial contains small subunit ribosomal RNA, internal transcribed spacer 1, and 5.8S ribosomal RNA". The record is from RNAcentral.